GACGGAGGGUGCAAGCGUUGUUCGGAAUUACUGGGCGUAAAGCGCGGGCAGGUGGCCCUUUAAGUCCUUUGUGAAACUCCGGAGCUCAACUCCGGAUCUGCGGUGGGUACGGGCAGACUAGAGUGAUGUAGGGGAGACUGGAAUUCCUGGUGUAGCGGUGAAAUGCGCAGAUAUCAGGAGGAACACCAGUGGCGAAGGCGGCUACCUGGACCAGCACUGACACUGAGGCACGAAAGCGUGGGGAGCAAACAGG
This 253-nucleotide ribosomal RNA is filed under the name uncultured bacterium. RNAcentral describes it as "partial 16S ribosomal RNA". It matches the Rfam family "Bacterial small subunit ribosomal RNA", at positions 524 to 776 of the family's 1533-position model. The record is from RNAcentral.